AAUGUUAUUAUUAGAUAAUACGUUUCACUUUGUGAGAAACUUCCAAAUUGUUUUCCAAAGUAGAUGUACUAUUUUUCAUUCCCAUAAACAAU
Molecule: microRNA precursor, 92 nt
Filed under: Marmota monax (woodchuck)
Lineage: Eukaryota; Metazoa; Chordata; Mammalia; Rodentia; Sciuridae
Source: RNAcentral